Molecule: long non-coding RNA, 2687 nt
Filed under: Oryza sativa (Asian cultivated rice)
Lineage: Eukaryota; Viridiplantae; Streptophyta; Magnoliopsida; Poales; Poaceae
Description: long non-coding RNA (OSAT_LNC000427)
Source: RNAcentral
GAUAGGGACGGCGGCGCAGGGCGCCGGGGACGACAAGGACUACAAGGAGCCGCCGCCGGCGCCGCUGUUCGAGCCAGGGGAGCUCAAGUCGUGGUCUUUCUACCGGGCCGGGAUCGCCGAGUUCGUCGCCACCUUCCUCUUCCUCUACAUCACCAUCCUCACCGUCAUGGGGGUCUCCAAGUCCUCCUCCAAGUGCGCCACCGUCGGCAUCCAGGGCAUCGCCUGGUCCUUCGGAGGCAUGAUCUUCGCGCUCGUCUACUGCACCGCCGGCAUCUCCGGUCAGUUCACUCUCCUUUGGCUUCCUCCCCCACCUUCAAGAUCUCAAGUCUUCAACUUUGUCAUGAUUUUGCCUUGGUUUGUCUUGCUAGUUGAUACUUACUUGUUACCUGCACUUUGCUUGGCUCAGUAGUUUCUUCAUACUAGCAUGCUCACUUUAGUAAAGCAUGAGGUAUAGAAUCAUGUGUACUACUACUGCUCCUUCCAUAAGUAGCAAGACUUUGAGGCAUAUGGCAUUAACACUGAAUAAUUGAUGAAAGACUUUUAGUUACCUGCUUUUGGGGUGUUAGAUCAGUAUUAGUAACUGGAAAUUCACUAAAUUUGUUGUCCAUGCUCUUGUAGUUUUAAAGAAUUAUUAUAGCUUUCUACAGGUGUUGAAUGCACCAAAAAUUUAUGACACUACCUUUUGCUCUUGUACCAUCAUGUACCUUGUCUGCGCAAAGAUUUGUCGCUGGCAUAUUGUACUGCUGUGGUAUGUGAAUUUUGUUCUUAUGCAAAGGUUUGAUUUACGACUAGAAGAUUAAGGAUUUAAGGUCAUCCGAUUGAUUUAACUCUUAACCCAGCAUUUUCUUCGGUAGUGUUCUAACUGUUGAUGCUGAAACCACACAAAUUAUCACACAAAAAUAUAUUAUUUUUAGUUCAUCAAAAUUGAAUGUGCACUUGGAGCCUUGGAGGCAAAGAAAUAUGUGAUGCCAAAAUUUUCUCCUUGGUUAAUCUUCCUACCAGAAUAUUAACAAAACUAUAUGAACAAGUAAAUAUCUUGUGUUGUCAACUUAUACAGUCUAUCACAACUCGCAAUCUUAGAAGUUAAUUUCUGUACCAGUUUUAUAUAAUGCUUCAAAAUCUCAAAUACUACCUUGUUAAUCUCAAAAUAUGAAUACAUGAGGGUACACUAUACAGUCUUACUUCAACUGUCAUGACAACUGACCACAAAACAACUACGGCAAUUAAGGGCACUACUAAUAUCCAUUAUAUUGUCUGUUACUGCAACAGGAGGACACAUCAACCCAGCAGUUACUUUUGGGCUGUUCUUGGCCAGGAAGCUGUCCCUGACCCGGGCCAUCUUCUACAUAGUGAUGCAAUGCCUAGGGGCCAUCUGCGGAGCUGGAGUUGUGAAGGGCUUCCAGCAGGGUCUGUACAUGGGCAAUGGCGGUGGUGCCAAUGUAGUUGCCAGUGGCUACACCAAGGGUGACGGUCUUGGUGCUGAGAUUGUUGGCACCUUCAUCCUGGUCUACACCGUCUUCUCAGCCACUGAUGCCAAGAGGAAUGCCAGGGACUCACAUGUUCCUGUAAGUAUCCUUCUCCUUUUUGCAGUGUGAUAUGUGAAAGUUCAGUAGUAGUUAGUGUGGUCUAAUGAGUUAUGCACUGUGAUAACUAAUUCAUCACCAAACCCUAAAGUGAUAAUGUGCAAAUCACUAAGCAGUAUUUUGGUUAGCACCUUUACAUACCUCACUCAUACAGUAUGCCUUUAACAAUGAACUGGUGUGCUCAUAACUUGUAGGUGUGCGCCAUUUAUGGCUAGACUUUUAACUAGUUUAAUUUAUCAUGUUUGCUCAAGAAAUUGACUGUAUGCGUAUAGUUACUGGAAGUAUAUAUGGGUUUUUUGUGUGUUGCAUAACGUAUUUCUGUCCUUUGUUGGUGAAAACAGAUCCUUGCCCCACUGCCAAUUGGUUUUGCGGUGUUCCUGGUCCACCUGGCCACCAUCCCCAUCACCGGUACUGGCAUCAACCCAGCCAGGAGCCUUGGCGCUGCCAUCAUCUACAACAAGGACCAUGCCUGGAAUGACCAUGUGAGCAACCUUUCUUCUCUUUUUACCUACUCGCCGUUCUCAGCAAUUGGUUCCUCUUACAUUAUCAGAUAUUAGUCAGCACAUCAUUGAUAAUCGAUACAUUUUUUGUUGGCAAAUUGAGGUCUAAGCUGAUAAACAUGUCAGUAUAUAUAAUCAAAUGUUCUCAGCAAUUGGUUCCUCUUACAUUAUCAGAUAUUAGUCAGCACAUUACUGAUAAUCGAUACAUUUUUUGUUGGCAAAUUGAGGUCUAAGCUGAUAAACAUGUCAGUAUAUAUAAUCAAAUGUUCUGAUACUUUUUUUGGUUAUAUUUUUCUCUUUGUAUGGGUAGGUCUAAGAUGAUAAACAUGUCACUAUAACCAAAUGUAGCAGCAUGCUCUUGCUAAAGUUUACUUAGUAGCUUACCAGCUUACUAGCCUUUGCUCAAGAAAAGAGUAGAAGACACGACAAAGAGUUUUUCCUUACAAAUUUUGGUAUCUAAAUUUUGCAGUGGAUCUUCUGGGUUGGUCCCUUCGUUGGCGCUGCCCUGGCUGCCAUCUACCACCAGGUGAUCAUCAGGGCGAUCCCAUUCAAGAGCAGGUCUUAAGCCCCGCGCCGCCGCUGCGCAGCCGACGACAUGCAACGC